Molecule: transfer RNA, 74 nt
Filed under: Erysipelothrix sp.
Lineage: Bacteria; Bacillati; Bacillota; Erysipelotrichia; Erysipelotrichales; Erysipelotrichaceae
Description: tRNA-Gly
Rfam family: tRNA
About the family: Transfer RNA (tRNA) molecules are approximately 80 nucleotides in length.
Source: RNAcentral
GCGGGUGUGGUAUAAUGGUAGCACGCGACCUUGCCAUGGUUGAGACGAGGGUUCGAUUCCCUUCACCCGCUCCA